UUAAAUUGAAGAGUUUGAUCAUGGCUCAGAUUGAACGCUGGCGGCAGGCCUAACACAUGCAAGUCGAACGGUAACAGGAAGCAGCUUGCUGUUUCGCUGACGAGUGGCGGACGGGUGAGUAAUGUCUGGGAAACUGCCUGA
This 141-nucleotide ribosomal RNA is filed under the name Escherichia coli. RNAcentral's name for it is "partial 16S ribosomal RNA". It matches the Rfam family "Bacterial small subunit ribosomal RNA", at positions 1 to 133 of the family's 1533-position model. Lineage: Bacteria; Pseudomonadati; Pseudomonadota; Gammaproteobacteria; Enterobacterales; Enterobacteriaceae. RNAcentral also lists the same sequence under 1 other name. The record is from RNAcentral.